Molecule: long non-coding RNA, 744 nt
Filed under: Dermacentor andersoni
Lineage: Eukaryota; Metazoa; Arthropoda; Arachnida; Ixodida; Ixodidae
Description: uncharacterized LOC126544592
Source: RNAcentral
ACAUAAACAAGAAAUGGCGGGAAAGAGAGCGACGCCGGCGCUGUGACCAGGGUGUGCAGACAGAAGCGGAGGACGGUGGAAAAACCGGCUGCGAAGCAAGCGACGGCCGCCGGCGCACGCAGCGCCGCGUGGGGUCGGUGAGCGCAGUUAGCGUUUUCAACUGGCGGGCUGGCUUUGCGGAGAAGCGGUGUGGAGGUCCGUUGAAAGUGCUCGGUUUUGGACUGCACUAUGUUCCGUUAGCUUUGCUCUUAAACGUUCAAGGUCACCGCAGAACACCAACAGGCGUGUAUUGUGGAAGGGCUAGCGCUUGAUUAUUCCAGGUGCCAGAUGACUUGGGAGACCUACACGCGCAAAUCUUCGGGCUGACCAGCAGAACGACUAGUCCACAAGCCGAUGACCACAGGUCCAGUCCAAAUUACGUCGACAAGUCAAAUGAAUCUGAUGAACUGCAACUAUUAUUGUUGUUACUAUUUUUUCAUCAUGCCAUCUUCGUAAUUUGACCUCUUUAGACAAGACUAGGCACUGCGACUUCUCUACCCUCGGUGUUUGCAAAUAUAUUCCAGUUGCUCUGGCGGCAAAUGUAAAGUGUCACACCAGAAGAAGAUAAAAUCAUUUGCUUCAGUGCGGCGAGCACAGAAGUCGCAGCUACGACAUAUUCGCCAUGAGCAGCUGGGAAAAUUUCGUGAGGUGGCUGCUUUUUACGAACGAUUUUCAAGCGAAUAAAGUGUAUCCGCACACUAUUUA